CCGGGAUCCGAUUAGAGUUUGAUCCUGGCUCAGAAUCAACGCUGGCGGCGUGCCUAACACAUGCAAGUCGAACGCGAAAGGGGCUUCGGCCCUGAGUAGAGUGGCGAACGGGUGAGUAACACGUGGGUGAUCUACCUCUGAGUGGGGGAUAACGUUCCGAAGGGAGCGCUAAUACCGCAUGACGUUCCGGGUUUGAAGACCUGGAAACCAAAGCCGGGGACCGCAAGGCCUAGCGCUGGGAGAGGAGCCCGCGUCUGAUUAGCUAGUUGGUGGGGUAAUGGCCUACCAAGGCGACGAUCAGUAGCCGGCCUGAGAGGGCGGACGGCCACACUGGGACUGAGACACGGCCCAGACUCCUACGGGAGGCAGCAAUCU
Molecule: ribosomal RNA, 375 nt
Filed under: uncultured Acidobacteriota bacterium
Lineage: Bacteria; Pseudomonadati; Acidobacteriota
Description: bacterial SSU rRNA
Rfam family: Bacterial small subunit ribosomal RNA
Source: RNAcentral